This 985-nucleotide long non-coding RNA is filed under the name Medicago truncatula (barrel medic). RNAcentral describes it as "lncRNA gene10715". Lineage: Eukaryota; Viridiplantae; Streptophyta; Magnoliopsida; Fabales; Fabaceae. The record is from RNAcentral.
GGUUAUUCUGUGAAGAUAUUUAAAGAAAAGCUUAAAAGAUUGAGAAGUCAUGAUGGUGAUUUCAGAUUUUAGACUGUCUCUGAUUUGAUUUCACUGCCACAUGUGUUCUAGUAUAUAUAUGAGUUUCUAGCAUAUACAUUUGUUUUGUAUUGUAGAUGCUCUAGUAAUAUCUUUUAUGGUUGAUUCUGUGGCAGUUUGAUAAUAUUGGUUCUAUAGCGAAUUGCUACUCGGUCAUAAAGUGAUAAUGAGAUAAUUUUGUCAUCGUCAAAGACAACAUGAAUCUUAGGUAGUUUUGUGAAAAUGGAAUUGGAAACUAGAAGUUUGUGUACGUAUGAAAUCGUUAGUCAAUUUUUAACAUAUCAAAGGUAAAUGCCUCAAGUGAUAGUUUUUGCCUCGUUUUUUAUCACUGUUCUGCUGUUUUUCUUGGACUGGUGCGGCUCUCUGUGGUUUUUGGAGUGGGGGCAGGUGUUUUCUCUGUUCCAGGGAGCGGCUGUUAGGAGUUUUAGAAGUUGGCUUCUGUUGUGUUCCUGCUCUCAUAAUCUCUUGUGCCAAAAGUGCUUAAAUAACCAUUUAUCUGAAUAUGUUGGUAUUGUCUUCCAGAUUUGUCUGCGAUCUUACCUUCCAAUCCCGUUCAAACUACUCUUUGUAUUCCUUCUGUACUGGUAAAAUUCGCUAGUUGAAAUGGUAAUACAUUCUCAAAUUUAAGAAAUACAUUGUGAUGUAUGUUGCAAUGGCAUUGUCAGUCAUGUUGCUUCAGAUGUACGUUUUCAAUUCUGCUAUAGUGUUUGGAAAUAUUUCUAAAACUAAGCAUGGUAGUUCUGUUAUAAUGAAAAUUUGGGACUGUUUCACUCUCUUUUGGUCGUCACUUGCUGUUUGAAAUAAGUGUUUGUGCGAAAUUCUAUGACCAUGCAAGACUUUCUCAUGGUUCAUCACUUUUUAAGUAUCCUUCAAUGAUGGUGUUUUUGUCUGUCAAGUAGUGUUAUUU